This 2444-nucleotide long non-coding RNA is filed under the name Triticum aestivum (bread wheat). RNAcentral describes it as "long non-coding RNA (TAES_LNC014695)". The record is from RNAcentral. Lineage: Eukaryota; Viridiplantae; Streptophyta; Magnoliopsida; Poales; Poaceae.
CCAAUAACAAUGAAGUAGGUAAUUCGUUCCAUCAGGACAAGUACCACGGUAUGGUAACCAGAAAAUACACAUCCAUUAAUAUAUACCAUUUCACAUAAUACAUAAUUAGGACCUAGUUAAUUUAAUCUCAUAGGAAACAUACCACUUCUGCAGAUAAGUGAAAACAAGUAAACAUCUAGUACAUACAGGCAUGCCCCUGGACAAAUCCAAAUGUUUACAAAAUGCAUCUAGGAAUUCAGCAUCAAUCAUGAAACAUUACCAGUAAGCAACUGCCAAAUUCCAAAAGCAGCAACGUACAUACAGGCAUGGAGAACCUUGCCUUGCAAAUUAUCCAUUGCAUAAAGCUUAUUUGUUCUACUCCUCGAUCUCUUGCGCGUCCAUGUAAGCCUUCUUCAUAUCUUCAAUUAUUGCAUCAUUCGUGCUGCCAACAAAGAAAAGCACAUGGUGAAUAUCAAAAUAUUUAGAUUAAUGUGGUUUCUAUCAAGCCAAUGUCAUCUACUCAACAAUGAAACAAGCAGCUUGCGCACUAGAGAACAAAAUGUAAUACAAAAAUAACUCAGGCUCUUUCAAUCAUGAUUAUCAAAAAGUAAAAUAAAUUGUGGUCAGCAAUAAUAGCAUAAAUACUCUUUUCAAGAUUUCUGAAGUGUACUAAUCACCAAACAUGUUUCAACAAGAUCAUAAUUAUUAGUUUGGAUUAUUAGAUGAAACCUACAACAGAGUUGGCUCCAUAAAAUUCCAACAAAUGUGCAGACCAGAAAAGGAUUGACCAUUUCAAAAUCAUACAUGAAUCAGGUUCCUGCUGUCAAGAGAGUAUCAUAUGAAACAGCAACAGUUGUCAAUAGGACAGAGACAUCGUUAAUUUGACAAAAAUACAUGGUCCAUCCACUAGUAGCUUCAGCGCAAACUUGGAACACACCGGCUUCAGGGGGGAAUCCACCACUUUGCCCACCGCUUCCAAGCUCAGCAGCGUUGCAAAUUUCAGCUUCGAUGAUACUAAGAGAAGCCCCUGACUCCAUCCGACCGGAAGAUUUGGGGCCCUUCAUUACAUGUAUGGUCCACCUUGCCGCGCUUCGGCAAACUCAUCCACGGGGGACAGCCGCUGAUGGAUUGGGAGGAAGAAGAUGAAUCAGUGGUAACAUAUAUUUGUUUGCCCAUUUAUAAUAUGCUUUGACAGUUCAGUAAACAUCAUACGGCAUUUUCUUCGCAAAAAGAACAUCAUAGCAUAUUUAUGAUAGAAAAAUAGAAAAGAAUAUAAUUGUUUCAAAACCAUAACACAUAAUGCAUCCUACUUUUUCUCAAUGUUGGCACUAAACGGCAGAAUCAGUGUCAUUUAACCAAUUUGCAUCAAAAAACAUGAUACGAAAAAAAAACAAUUGCACAGCAGGGCCUAAUAUUUCAGUAAUUGUCAAGUAUAGCAUGGCUGAUUUAAUGGAGAAAUAUGAGAUGCCCAUCGAUUUUUCCAGAUUGAAUACAGAUCCCAAAAUCACCUGCAGCAACUAAAAAUCCAACACAAAUAAUAAUGAUGCCGGGUGUUGACAAAUCCCAUAACUGAAAUACCAACCAAAACAAAAAUCUCCAGCUCUCACCACAGGAUUUCCAUACUGAAAAUCAAUCUAUACACAACAACAGUAGCUUUCUUCACACUGAAACUAGAUGUGAUGGUUCGUUCCGGCCAAGAAGUUUGUAUCUCAAACAGGCGCAUCUACCAUUAUCCGGGAAAACAAACGACUUAAAAUGGUACAUGAGAGAUUUUUAGAUCCGUAAUUACCUAAUGGUCCAGCCGCUGGUGGCUUCUGAGCAAACCUAAGCAGGCGUCCCCGCACAGAUGUGUGCCCUCGCUGCCGCGGCCCAGCUGGGUAUCGGCGAUGCUCAUGAAAUCCCGCGACUCCACGGGAAUACAUCAGGAAUCGGCUCUGACGUCCCAAACAUGGAUCCUGCAGAAAAGUUGGUGGUGAGGCACUGAACUCAAAUCCAAAGAAUAGGACGCGGAUCUAAACACGGCCAUGACCGCCGGGCCAUAAGAAGACGCACCCGUGGCACCUCAACACCAAAGGAGCACAUCUCGCCGGAGAACAAACCCUGGCGCCGUCAAGGUUGGGGGAAAAGAGACCCAACGGCAGAGCCGGCGUGUGGAGACGAAUUGCCCAUGACCACCGGGUACGUGGGUAGGGCCAAGGGGCCAGGGAGAUGCUCACCGGAGAGAAACCAGUGCCGCCGUCGGAUUUGAGAGAGAGAGAGAGAGACGGAGGGGCAGAGCAGGUGUGCGGCGACGGCUUGUUCACGAGUUAGGGAUAAGGUCACGGACAUGGGCCAGCCUUUCUGGUGCAGGACACGUCGUCUUUUCUAGGUGUGCGAACAGGUAAAAGAAAUGGGUGGAACAGAAUACGCCUGUGCGGCAGAUAGGCGUAUCACGGACCGUAUUCUCUUCACUAGGCCUGCCACAG